UCAGAUUGAGGGCGUGCAACCCGCCCUCAUGAAGUCGGAGUUGCUAGUAAUCGCGGAUCAGCAUGCCGCGGUGAAUACGUUCCCGGGCCUUGUACACACCGCCCGUCACACCAUGGGAGUUGGGAGCACCCGAAGCCGGUGAGGUAACCGAAAGGAGCCAGCCGUCGAAGGUGAGACCAAUGACUGGGGUGAAGUCGUAACAAGGUACC
This 209-nucleotide ribosomal RNA is filed under the name uncultured bacterium. RNAcentral's name for it is "partial 16S ribosomal RNA". It matches the Rfam family "Bacterial small subunit ribosomal RNA", at positions 1288 to 1500 of the family's 1533-position model. The record is from RNAcentral.